Molecule: ribosomal RNA, 964 nt
Filed under: uncultured sponge bacterium
Lineage: Bacteria
Description: bacterial SSU rRNA
Rfam family: Bacterial small subunit ribosomal RNA
Source: RNAcentral
GCCUUCGGGCUGCGAGUAGAGUGGCAAACGGGUGAGUAUCGCGUGGGUGACCUGCCUUCGAGUGGGGGAUAACCUUCCGAAAGGGGGGCUAAUACCGCAUAACAUCCCGCCCUUGGAUGGGUGGUGAUCAAAGUCGGGGAUCUUCGGACCUGGCGCUUGAAGAGGGACCCGCGUCCGAUUAGCUUGUUGGUGGGGUAGCGGCCUACCAAGGCGACGAUCGGUAGCCGGCCUGAGAGGGCGGACGGCCACACUGGGACUGAGACACGGCCCAGACUUCUACGGGAGGCAGCAGUAAGGAAUUGUUCGCAAUGGGCGCAAGCCUGACGACGCAACGCCGCGUGGAGGACGAAGAUCUUCGGGUUGUAAACUCCUGUCAAGCGGGAAGAACAGCAUGCGGGUUAAUACCCCGCGUGCCUGACGGUACCGCUGAAGGAAGCCCCGGCUAACUCCGUGCCAGCAGCCGCGGUAAUACGGGGGGGGCAAGCGUUGUUCGGAAUUACUGGGCGUAAAGGGCUCGUAGGCGGCCAGCCAAGUCGGACGUGAAAUCCCUCGGCUCAACCGGGGAACUGCAUCCGAUACUGGUUGGCUUGAAGCCGGGAGAGGGAUGCGGAAUUCCAGGUGUAGCGGUGAAAUGCGUAGAUAUCUGGAGGAACACCGGUGGCGAAGGCGGCAUCCUGGACCGGUCUUGACGCUGAGGAGCGAAAGCCAGGGGAGCAAACGGGAUUAGAUACCCCGGUAGUCCUGGCCCUAAACGAUGAAUGCUUGGUGUGGCGGGUAUCGAUCCCUGCCGUGCCGGAGCUAACGCAUUAAGCAUUCCGCCUGGGGAGUACGGUCGCAAGGCUGAAACUCAAAGGAAUUGACGGGGGCCCGCACAAGCGGUGGAGCAUGUGGUUUAAUUCGACGCAACGCGAAGAACCUUACCCGGGCUUGAAGUGCGAGUGGCAAUCGGCGAAAGCCGACUUCC